Molecule: ribosomal RNA, 345 nt
Filed under: uncultured bacterium
Lineage: Bacteria
Description: bacterial SSU rRNA
Rfam family: Bacterial small subunit ribosomal RNA
Source: RNAcentral
AGAGUUUGAUCAUGGCUCAGGAUGAACGCUAGCUACAGGCUUAACACAUGCAAGUCGAGGGGCAGCAUGUUGGUUGCUUGCAACCAAUGAUGGCGACCGGCGCACGGGUGAGUAACGCGUAUCCAACCUACCCUUGUCCAUCGGAUAACCCGUCGAAAGGCGGCCUAACACGAUAUGCGGUUCUCAGCAGGCAUCUAACGAGAACGAAAUGUGAAGGAGAAGGAUGGGGAUGCGUCUGAUUAGCUUGUUGGCGGGUAACGGCCACAAGGCUACGAUCAGUAGGGGUUCUGAGAGGAAGGUCCCCCANAUUGGAACUGAGACACGGUCCAAACUCCUACGGGAGCA